GUGGAUAUAGCGUAGUUGGUUAACGCGUCAGUUUGUGGCACUGAAGAUCAUGAGUUCGAAUCUCAUUAUCCACCCCA
This 77-nucleotide transfer RNA is filed under the name Clostridiales bacterium. Its description in RNAcentral is "tRNA-His". It matches the Rfam family "tRNA". From Rfam's summary of the family: Transfer RNA (tRNA) molecules are approximately 80 nucleotides in length. Their secondary structure includes four short double-helical elements and three loops (D, anti-codon, and T loops). Further hydrogen bonds mediate the characteristic L-shaped molecular structure. tRNAs have two regions of fundamental functional importance: the anti-codon, which is responsible for specific mRNA codon recognition, and the 3' end, to which the tRNAs corresponding amino acid is attached (by aminoacyl-tRNA synthetases). tRNAs cope with the degeneracy of the genetic code in two manners: having more than one tRNA (with a specific anti-codon) for a particular amino acid; and 'wobble' base-pairing, i.e. permitting non-standard base-pairing at the 3rd anti-codon position. Lineage: Bacteria; Bacillati; Bacillota; Clostridia; Eubacteriales. The record is from RNAcentral.